UGCAACGUCGAGCGGCAGCACGGGGUGCAACCCUGGUGGCGAGCGGCGGACGGGUGAGGAAUACAUCGGAAUCUGCCUUGUCGUGGGGGAUAACGUAGGGAAACUUACGCUAAUACCGCAUACGACCGAGAGGUGAAAGUGGGGGACCGCAAGGCCUCACGCGAUAAGAUGAGCCGAUGUCGGAUUAGCUAGUUGGCGGGGUAAUGGCCCACCAAGGCGACGAUCCGUAGCUGGUCUGAGAGGAUGAUCAGCCACACCGGAACUGAGACACGGUCCAGACUCCUACGGGAGGCAGCAGUGGGGAAUAUUGGACAAUGGGCGCAAGCCUGAUCCAGCCAUGCCGCGUGGGUGAAGAAGGCCUUCGGGUUGUAAAGCCCUUUUGUUGGGGAAGAAAUCGUACGGGCGAAUACCUCGUGCGGAUGACGGUACCCAAAGAAUAAGCACCGGCUAACUUCGUGCCAGCAGCCGCGGUAAUACGAAGGGUGCAAGCGUUACUCGGAAUUACUGGGCGUA
Molecule: ribosomal RNA, 513 nt
Filed under: uncultured bacterium
Lineage: Bacteria
Description: bacterial SSU rRNA
Rfam family: Bacterial small subunit ribosomal RNA
Source: RNAcentral